GGCUGAAAAGCAGGCACACGACACUGAGUCUGCACGCUGCAGCUAGUUCUCCUUGGAUUAUGGGAUUACGGUUUUUGUUUUCAUUAAAUUGUUACCGUUUUUAACUUUAACCUCAACCACAGCUACUUCGUCCCAGGUUCUUCCCUGCUGAGACAAUCGUGUCAAGCAUCAACAAAACGAUUGUCAACGACUGCAUCACAGCCUUCGCCUCUGCCUGGAAGCUACCACUGCUUUAACAUACUUCACCCUUUGGAACGACCACUAACCCUGAAGUUCCUCCAAUGGUGUUUUCUAUUAAUCCUGAGAAAGGUGCCAAGGUUGAGUCCAAGAAGAGGAAAAAGUGUUCUCUGUCAAUCCCAGAGUCCUCACACUUAUCUCAGACGUUGCUGACCAUGAGCAGAUCUAGUCCUACCCCUCUUGUUUGGCACGACUUGAUAAAGGUGGAUGGCUGUCAGACGGUGCUGAUGUCAUCUCAGGUGGCGUCGUUGGGCUCUUGUAACAUUUGGAGUUUGGACCUGAGCAGCAAUGGAUGACUGCACAGGAAACUGAGGCACAGGAGAUUCUUUCCUCUUCUGAAUCUGUUUGUCUCAGUUAGGCCUGUCACCAUAACAAAUUCUGCUGGAAGAUAAUAUUCUAAAACUUAUUGUGGUAAAUCAUAUUGUGAUUUGGAGAUACCGUCUUCAUCUAAUACGAUAAAGGCAUAAUCACACAAGUAAUUUACUGCAAUUUUCAAGCUGUAUGUAAACGA
Fundulus heteroclitus (mummichog) is the source of this 748-nucleotide long non-coding RNA. RefSeq lists it as uncharacterized. The record is from RefSeq and is a predicted model, not a curated record. Lineage: Eukaryota; Metazoa; Chordata; Actinopteri; Cyprinodontiformes; Fundulidae. The transcript is spliced from 4 exons.